This 497-nucleotide ribosomal RNA is filed under the name uncultured bacterium. Its description in RNAcentral is "partial 16S ribosomal RNA". It matches the Rfam family "Bacterial small subunit ribosomal RNA", at positions 28 to 507 of the family's 1533-position model. The record is from RNAcentral.
GAUGAACGCUGGCGGCGUGCCUAAUACAUGCAAGUCGAGCGAACAGACGAGGAACUUGCUCCUCUGACGUUAGCGGCGGACGGGUGAGUAACACGUGGAUAACCUACCUAUAAGACUGGGAUAACUUCGGGAAACCGGAGCUAAUACCGGAUAAUAUAUUGAACCGCAUGGUUCAAUAGUGAAAGACGGUUUUGCUGUAACUUAUAGAUGGAUCCAGGCCGCAUUAGCUAGUGGGAAAGGUAAAGGCUUACCAAGGCAACGAUGCGUAGCCGACCUGAGAGGGUGAUCGUCACGAUAGGAUCUGAGACACGGUCCAGACCACUACGAGAAGCAGCAUUAUAGACACUUCCGCAAUGAGCGGAAGCCUGACGGGACAACACGCCGUCAGUGAUGGAAAUCUUCGGAGCGUAAAAAUCAGUUAUUAGAGAAGAACCAAUAUGUAAGUAACUAUGAGCGGCUUGACGGUACCUAAUCAGAUAAACACGGCUAACUACGUG